This 253-nucleotide ribosomal RNA is filed under the name uncultured bacterium. RNAcentral's name for it is "partial 16S ribosomal RNA". It matches the Rfam family "Bacterial small subunit ribosomal RNA", at positions 524 to 776 of the family's 1533-position model. The record is from RNAcentral.
UACGGGGGGGGCAAGCGUUGUUCGGAAUUACUGGGCGUAAAGGGCUCGUAGGCGGCCAACUAAGUCGGAUGUGAAAUCCCCAGGCUUAACCUGGGAACUGCAUCCGAUACUGGCAGGCUUGAAUCCGGGAGAGGGAUGCGGAAUUCCAGGUGUAGCGGUGAAAUGCGUAGAUAUCUGGAGGAACACCGGUGGCGAAGGCGGCAUCCUGGACCGGCAUUGACGCUGAGGCGCGAAAGCCAGGGGAGCAAACGGG